AACGAACGCUGGCGGCGUGCCUAACACAUGCAAGUCGUGCGAGAAAGUUUCCUUCGGGGAGCGAGUAAAGCGGCGCACGGGUGAGUAACACGUAGGUAACCUACCUUUCAGUCCGGAAUAACCAGCUGAAAAGCUGGGCUAAUGCCGGGUAAGACCACGAUCUCUGCGGGGAUCGCGGCCAAAGGCGGCCUCCUCAUGAAAGCUGAUGCUGAGAGAU
This 217-nucleotide ribosomal RNA is filed under the name uncultured bacterium. RNAcentral describes it as "partial 16S ribosomal RNA". It matches the Rfam family "Bacterial small subunit ribosomal RNA", at positions 29 to 226 of the family's 1533-position model. The record is from RNAcentral.